This 70-nucleotide transfer RNA is filed under the name Ictidomys tridecemlineatus (thirteen-lined ground squirrel). RNAcentral's name for it is "Spermophilus tridecemlineatus (thirteen-lined ground squirrel) tRNA". It matches the Rfam family "tRNA". Rfam says of the family: Transfer RNA (tRNA) molecules are approximately 80 nucleotides in length. Lineage: Eukaryota; Metazoa; Chordata; Mammalia; Rodentia; Sciuridae. The record is from Rfam by way of RNAcentral.
UGUGGUGUGGCUCAGGUAGAACACUUGCCUUGCAUGCAUGAGGCACUGGGUUUUAUCCUCAGCGCCACAU